Molecule: long non-coding RNA, 1624 nt
Organism: Thunnus maccoyii (southern bluefin tuna)
Lineage: Eukaryota; Metazoa; Chordata; Actinopteri; Scombriformes; Scombridae
Exons: 3
Source: RefSeq, a predicted model, not a curated record
GUAUAUAAAGAUGGACGACGCGUCUCGACUUCCUACUGCUAUGCAAAGUGAAGCCAAAAUAUCGCAUUUACGACAUGUAUGUAUUACAGGAGCUGUCAUGGUGCUCAUAUGAAGGCGUUUGCAACCAGACUCUGCAGUAGAGUCGGGAGAGUGGGAUUCAGCCCCUCAACUUGACUGACAGCCCCCCACCACCGAGCCGAGUGAACCAAGUAGCCAUGAUGGAGGUAAACCAGCUGGUAACUAGCAGCUACAGCCGUAACAAUGAUUACAUUCGGUGCAGCCGCACUGUAUGUGACCAAUUCAUAUAAACUUGCAUCCAUCCUGCCCUGCCAGUCGCACAGCCGGUACACACAGCUGUUCAGGAAGUCGCUGGUGCUAACAUUAGCAUUAGUGAUUAGCAUGUGUAAUUCACAGUCUCUGUGUUAACAGACCACGUUAAUGGCCAUUUUAAAUCAGUAAAGUCUAUGAAAUGUUUAGUUUAUGUUCAUCCACCACAGCAGUUCAUUCAGUUUUUUUUAAUAACAUUUUACUGUGUCAUGAAGGUAAGUUAAUGCUUUUUGUGUUUUAUGGGUGUAUAAGAGUGAGAAUAUUGCUAGAAUACAGACAGUUAGCCAGCCAAGUUAAACCUGUGAGUCUGUAGAGAUGUAGGCUGGAAAGCGAGGUUUAUUGUAUUUCCUAGCUGACAGAUUUAAGGGUAACAGGGCCAGUUAGACUGCCAAGGUCAUCCAGUAAACACAGUUAAAGGUGUAAUGAGAUGUUUUCAAUUAGUUUAACUGAAACAUCUAUGGAACAUAAUUAUUCAUGCAGAUGAGAAAAUGUGUUUAUAAUUGUGUAUGCUCCAUAUUGUUUACGUAUUGUGUCGAAAAUGUUGUGGUGCAGGUGCAGUUUACACAUGUAGAUGUUUGUAGCAUUGUGUAUGGGAUGUUUAAAGUAAGUGAAAUCCAUUGAGAAGUCUGAAGCAAGCCUGUAAAAGUGGAAGUUAUUACAAUGAAGUUCAGAGAUAGUAGAGCUGAUGCAAGCUGAGCGAACGCCACAAUGAUAUGAGUAACGUACUGACUACUGUUUUAAAUAUGUUUUGCACAGGUAACCCCUGUGAAUAAAUGUGCUGCACCAGUUUGGACCCAGAGCUUCAUUCUGAACCUAAACACACUCAGGCGAACUGGCUAAGAUUUAGUGUUAGCUAAUCCCAGUUUGCUAGAAAAGAAGAGAGGAAUCACAGCCAGAUCUGCUCAGACUGGCAGAGUGGACAUGAACAGUAGAAGGUCUGCUGUCAAGGCUGGGGGUGUCUUCAUCUUCUGCACUGUACUGUGGCACAGACUGCUUCUGUAAAUACAAUACAAUCAUGUGUAAUGUAUUAAUUGUAUAUAGAUCAGUUUGAGCUCAAUAAGUAUAAGUAUACUAUAUGUGACCACUGAAAUACAAAAGAUAACUAACUUUGCUCCUUUGUUCUCUAUGAUUAUUAUUGUCACUUCGCAAUAAACUAAAGUUCAGAAAAUUAUUGUUCUUCACACUGAACAGAUGCUUCAUCACUGUCUGUCCUUUGACUGUCUAAGUUAGUUUAUAUGUUAAUUACGGAGCUUUUCAAGAACUAUGGCUGGCUGAUAAUUUUAAUACUUACAUUAAA